UAAGGGCGCACGGUGGAUGCCUUGGCACUAGAAGCCGAUGAAGGACGUUACUAACGACGAUAUGCUUUGGGGAGCUGUAAGUAAGCUUUGAUCCAGAGAUUUCCGAAUGGGGAAACCCAGCAUGAGUUAUGUCAUGUUAUCGAUAUGUGAAUACAUAGCAUAUCAGAAGGCACACCCGGAGAACUGAAACAUCUUAGUACCCGGAGGAAGAGAAAGAAAAUUCGAUUCCCUUAGUAGCGGCGAGCGAAACGGGAAGAGCCCAAACCAACAAGCUUGCUUGUUGGGGUUGUAGGACACUCUAUACGGAGUUACAAAGGACGACAUUAGACGAAUCAUCUGGAAAGAUGAAUCAAAGAAGGUAAUAAUCCUGUAGUCGAAAAUGUUGUCUCUCUUGAGUGGAUCCUGAGUACGACGGAGCACGUGAAAUUCCGUCGGAAUCUGGGAGGACCAUCUCCUAAGGCUAAAUACUCUCUAGUGACCGAUAGUGAACCAGUACCGUGAGGGAAAGGUGAAAAGCACCCCGGAAGGGGAGUGAAAUAGAACCUGAAACCGUGUGCUUACAAGUAGUCAGAGCCCGUUAAUGGGUGAUGGCGUGCCUUUUGUAGAAUGAACCGGCGAGUUACGAUUUGAUGCAAGGUUAAGCAGUAAAUGUGGAGCCGUAGCGAAAGCGAGUCUGAAUAGGGCGUUUAGUAUUUGGUCGUAGACCCGAAACCAGGUGAUCUACCCUUGGUCAGGUUGAAGUUCAGGUAACACUGAAUGGAGGACCGAACCGACUUACGUUGAAAAGUGAGCGGAUGAACUGAGGGUAGCGGAGAAAUUCCAAUCGAACCUGGAGAUAGCUGGUUCUCUCCGAAAUAGCUUUAGGGCUAGCCUCAAGUGAUGAUUAUUGGAGGUAGAGCACUGUUUGGACGAGGGGCCCCUCUCGGGUUACCGAAUUCAGACAAACUCCGAAUGCCAAUUAAUUUAACUUGGGAGUCAGAACAUGGGUGAUAAGGUCCGUGUUCGAAAGGGAAACAGCCCAGACCACCAGC
Molecule: ribosomal RNA, 1031 nt
Filed under: Staphylococcus aureus
Lineage: Bacteria; Bacillati; Bacillota; Bacilli; Caryophanales; Staphylococcaceae
Description: partial 23S ribosomal RNA
Rfam family: Bacterial large subunit ribosomal RNA
Source: RNAcentral